AGUGAACGCUGGCGGUAGGCCUAACACAUGCAAGUCGAACGGCAGCACAGUAAGAGCUUGCUCUUACGGGUGGCGGGUGGCGGACGGGUGAGGAAUACAUCGGAAUCUACUUUUUCGUGGGGGAUAACGUAGGGAAACUUACGCUAAUACCGCAUACGACCUACGGGUGAAAGCAGGGGAUCUUCGGACCUUGCGCGAUUGAAUGAGCCGAUGUCGGAUUAGCUAGUUGGCGGGGUAAAGGCCCACCAAGGCGACGAUCCGUAGCUGGUCUGAGAGGAUGAUCAGCCACACUGGAACUGAGACACGGUCCAGACUCCUACGGGAGGCAGCAGUGGGGAACAUUGGACAAUGGGCGCAAGCCUGAUCCAGCCAUACCGCGUGGGUGAAGAAGGCCUUCGGGUUGUAAAGCCCUUUUGUUGGGAAAGAAAAGCAGCAGGUUAAUACCCCGCUGUUCUGACGGUACCCAAAGAAUAAGCACCGGCUAACUUCGUG
Molecule: ribosomal RNA, 492 nt
Filed under: uncultured bacterium
Lineage: Bacteria
Description: partial 16S ribosomal RNA
Rfam family: Bacterial small subunit ribosomal RNA
Source: RNAcentral